This 1083-nucleotide long non-coding RNA is filed under the name Olea europaea subsp. europaea. The record is from RNAcentral. Lineage: Eukaryota; Viridiplantae; Streptophyta; Magnoliopsida; Lamiales; Oleaceae.
AAAACAACAGUUUGAACAUAAGAGGGCAUGUUGAAGGUAAAUGUGUCUCUCUUUAACGGUUAAGUUUUUAGACGACGUGGUUCAACCUCCAUAAAAUCUUUUCCAACCAUUGGAUUAAUGUGAAGAACCAAUUUUACUUAUCCCACAUAACAACACAAGUUCGACCAACAUCAGAACAUUUGACACAAUUUUCACCUCUCCAUCCUAAUCAGCCUAAAACUAGCCCACGUAGAAAACCAGAUGCUCUCACUUGUUACAUGUAGUUUAUAACACAGAAAUACAGAUGAAGACAAUAAAACAUUAAACUUUCAACAUUUUUCAGAAAUAAUGAAGCAGAUAGAAUGAUUUCAAAUGUUAGAUCCAUGGAGUAAUGUUACUCCAGAUAGCCAUACCAUUUACAAAAAGAAAAAAAAAAUCGUCUUUCCAUUAUCAGAAUCAAAUAACAGUAAACCCCACAAAACAACAUAAUUAAGAAAUGGAACUCACCAAGAGACCAUUAGAGAACUCGCUAGAACGAAUCUGCUAAACACCGAGUGAUGAUGAAUCGAAACUCCAAAACUACCAAGCCCAAUGUGAAUUUUCAAUGUAAAGAUUUUAAAAAGAACUUGAAAAAAGCUAAAGAAAUGAUUUUUAUAGCAAAAAAUUUUAUCUUGAAGGGGAUUCUAAAGAGCCCAGAUCGAGAAACUUGAAAACUCAAUAGAGGGGUUCGACAAGAUUAAGGAUUCGCAAUCUUGUGACUCAAAAAGUUCCCCUAUAUCAAAAAAGCCCGAAUUAAGCAGAAGAAAAUAAUAGAUGAUAUCAAACAGAGUCCGAACACUAUACGUGGAGAUAUUUGUUGAUUCGAUUCCAAAAUCUGUAUAUCCUAAUUGGCUGACGUGUGCUUGUGAAAGAGACCAGCCAAGACCCAGAGGCCAGAGGUAAUUUUGAGCACUCGUAGAAAUAAGUUAAAGAACGCAUUUUAUUCAAAAGUUCAAUUAUAAUUUACAAUUGAAAUUUUUUCCAUUGUGUAUGCUGUAUAAGAUUUCAAAUUCUAAGAAAAUGAGUCAUUGAGUUUUUGUUCAAUUUGUAUUGGCAAAAAAUGAC